Pelobates cultripes (western spadefoot toad) is the source of this 462-nucleotide non-coding RNA. The record is from the annotation of a GenBank genome assembly. NCBI's taxonomy places the organism in Eukaryota, Metazoa, Chordata, Amphibia, Anura, Pelobatidae.
AGGCCCACAGGGUCCACCAGGAAAACAGGGACCCCAAGGAAGAGAUGGACUUACAGGACCUAUUGGUGUUCCAGGAGUACCGGGCCCAAAGGGAGACACAGGAGAUAGGGGACCUCCAGGUUAAACAUACCAGGUUUCCCACUCAAAUAAUGUUAUAAUAUGUAUUACUGGUUCUUUCAUUCAAAAUUUAAUUUUGGCUAAAUCAUAGCAUAUUAAACCAAUUGGCGCUUGAAGCCCCAUAACCAGUACAGUUCAAUGUUGAGGCAAUGGUAGAGGCUAUGAUAUAAUGAGAUCCUCCCCCCACCCCCUCCUUCCCCCCAUUUUCCAUUAAACAGGGAUUUAAAAAAAAGUUUUCCCAGCCUUGCCUCUCUGCAGUCUCACCAUAGCACUAUUUAGCUAUUUUUACCCUUCAAGGAUAUACAUAGUGGCAGCUGGUAAAGUUUUUAGAUCAUUAGGAGCUAG